AACGAACGCUGGCGGCAGGCUUAACACAUGCAAGUCGAGCGCCCCGCAAGGGGAGCGGCAGCCGGGUGAGUAACGCGUGGGAACGUACCUUUUGGUUCGGAACAACUCCGGGAAACUGGAGCUAAUACCGGAUAAGCCCUAACGGGGAAAGAUUUAUCGCCGAAAGAUCGGCCCGCGUCUGAUUAGCUAGUUGGUGAGGUAACGGCUCACCAAGGCGACGAUCAGUAGCUGGUCUGAGAGGAUGAUCAGCCACACUGGGACUGAGACACGGCCCAGACUCCUACGGGAGGCAGCAGUGAGGAAUAUUGGACAAUGGGCGCAAGCCUGAUCCAGCCAUGCCGCGUGAGUGAUGAAGGCCUUAGGGUUGUAAAGCUCUUUUGUCCGGGAAGAUAAUGACUGUACCGGAAGAAUAAGCCCCGGCUAACUUCGUG
RNAcentral lists this ribosomal RNA (431 nucleotides) under uncultured bacterium. RNAcentral's name for it is "partial 16S ribosomal RNA". It matches the Rfam family "Bacterial small subunit ribosomal RNA", at positions 29 to 507 of the family's 1533-position model. The record is from RNAcentral.